This is a long non-coding RNA of Bubalus bubalis (water buffalo), 756 nucleotides long. RefSeq lists it as uncharacterized. NCBI's taxonomy places the organism in Eukaryota, Metazoa, Chordata, Mammalia, Artiodactyla, Bovidae. The transcript is spliced from 3 exons. The record is from RefSeq and is a predicted model, not a curated record.
CACGCAGUCCUAAGGGCGCUGCUACAUGCAUAUCUGGGACUCAGACAAAGCAAAGGAGCACAGGGCCCAGGGCCCGUCCCUCACCUGUGUAGGGUGUCCCUGGCCUCCCUCCCUGCCCAGGACAGUGUGGAGGCUCUGGGAGGUCACCCCUUCGUCCUCCUCUUCUGCAGACCUCCGACUCCAGGACAUCAACCAGAAUAGCUGCCACCUGGUUUUUGAUCUGGGGUGCCUGGUUGGGCUCCUGCUUCCUUUGAACACAGCCAGUGGUGCCAGCAUGGACCAAUGCCCUUGGGGGCGCUUGGAAACGCCGGGCCUCGGAGGUAGACGCAAGCCUUCCAUACCAUCAGCAGUUCUAGAGGGCUGUGGCACCCAGGUCCCUGGAUUGGCACACCUGUCUUGGUUCAUCUCUGCACGAGUUGGGCAUCUGUGUAAAGAUAGGUUUUAGACAGCAUCUCUGUCUUUUCUCUUUGAGUUGAGCCUCUCAGCAAGUGGGCAGAGAGAAUGUUCCCUUCUGGGAGGAGGGGAAAACAUGGCUCAUCGGGGCAGUAUGGGUCAAGGCUUUCAUAAACACACACAUAUCACAGGACAUUCUUGUGUGUGAUUCUUAGCCCCCACCAAACUGGGAUUUAUACACACUUAAGAGAAACGGAGCUGAGGGCUAAGUGUGCUGGUGGCUAAGUGUGCUAAGUGUCUGGGGGGAGGAGGGUGUGUGCUCUGUGCUUGGGUGUGGUUGUCACCCUGUCCCCAUGCUGCUGU